UAGGGAAUCUUCGGCAAUGGACGGAAGUCUGACCGAGCAACGCCGCGUGAGUGAAGAAGGUUUUCGGAUCGUAAAGCUCUGUUGUAAGAGAAGAACGAGUGUGAGAGUGGAAAGUUCACACUGUGACGGUAUCUUACCAGAAAGGGACGGCUAACUACGUGCCAGCAGCCGCGGUAAUACGUAGGUCCCGAGCGUUGUCCGGAUUUAUUGGGCGUAAAGCGAGCGCAGGCGGUUAGAUAAGUCUGAAGUUAAAGGCUGUGGCUUAACCAUAGUAGGCUUUGGAAACUGUUUAACUUGAGUGCAAGAGGGGAGAGUGGAAUUCCAUGUGUAGCGGUGAAAUGCGUAGAUAUAUGGAGGAACACCGGUGGCGAAAGCGGCUCUCUGGCUUGUAACCGACGCUGAGGCUCGAAAGCGUGGGGAGCAAACAGGAUUAGAUACCCUGGUAGUCCACGCUGUAAACGAUGAGUGCUAGGUGUUAGACCCUUUCCGGGGUUUAGUGCCGUAGCUAACGCAUUAAGCACUCCGCCUGGGGAGUACGACCGCAAGGUUG
RNAcentral lists this ribosomal RNA (550 nucleotides) under uncultured bacterium. RNAcentral describes it as "bacterial SSU rRNA". It matches the Rfam family "Bacterial small subunit ribosomal RNA", at positions 355 to 896 of the family's 1533-position model. The record is from RNAcentral.